Molecule: unclassified non-coding RNA, 224 nt
Filed under: Hevea brasiliensis (rubber tree)
Lineage: Eukaryota; Viridiplantae; Streptophyta; Magnoliopsida; Malpighiales; Euphorbiaceae
Source: RNAcentral
GCCGGAGGUGGUGGUGCCGAUCGAAGAUACCGGGAAGACUAGCAAUGCUCCACCAAAGUAUCUUGAGAUGUCUACAGUAUGACCAACAAGUUUGGGUUUGUCCUGAAGAGGAAAUAAUUUCUAUCUCUCUCUGUUUGGGUCUUGUUCUGAAUGGGAAAGUAUCCCUCUCUUUUCUUCUCUUUGGUCUCAAUUACUCAACUGUAGAAGAGUUUCGUUGGAAAAAG